Tupaia belangeri (northern tree shrew) is the source of this 67-nucleotide microRNA precursor. The record is from Ensembl. NCBI's taxonomy places the organism in Eukaryota, Metazoa, Chordata, Mammalia, Scandentia, Tupaiidae.
UGUGUGUAUGUGUGCAUGAGCAUGUAUGCAUAUGUAUAUAUGAUAUGUAUAUUUUGCAUGCAUGUAU